Molecule: ribosomal RNA, 553 nt
Filed under: Brevibacterium iodinum
Lineage: Bacteria; Bacillati; Actinomycetota; Actinomycetes; Micrococcales; Brevibacteriaceae
Description: bacterial SSU rRNA
Rfam family: Bacterial small subunit ribosomal RNA
Source: RNAcentral
CUUGCUGUUGGUGGAUGAGUGGCGAACGGGUGAGUAACACGUGAGUAACCUGCCCCUGAUUUCGGGAUAAGCCUGGGAAACUGGGUCUAAUACCGGAUACGACCAUUCCUUGCAUGAGGGUUGGUGGAAAGUUUUUCGAUCGGGGAUGGGCUCGCGGCCUAUCAGCUUGUUGGUGGGGUAAUGGCCUACCAAGGCGACGACGGGUAGCCGGCCUGAGAGGGCGACCGGCCACACUGGGACUGAGACACGGCCCAGACUCCUACGGGAGGCAGCAGUGGGGAAUAUUGCACAAUGGGGGAAACCCUGAUGCAGCGACGCAGCGUGCGGGAUGACGGCCUUCGGGUUGUAAACCGCUUUCAGCAGGGAAGAAGCGAGAGUGACGGUACCUGCAGAAGAAGUACCGGCUAACUACGUGCCAGCAGCCGCGGUAAUACGUAGGGUACGAGCGUUGUCCGGAAUUAUUGGGCGUAAAGAGCUCGUAGGUGGUUGGUCACGUCUGCUGUGGAAACGCAACGCUUAACGUUGCGCGUGCAGUGGGUACGGGCUGACUAGA